This 77-nucleotide transfer RNA is filed under the name Deltaproteobacteria bacterium. RNAcentral's name for it is "tRNA-Arg". It matches the Rfam family "tRNA". From Rfam's summary of the family: Transfer RNA (tRNA) molecules are approximately 80 nucleotides in length. The record is from RNAcentral. Lineage: Bacteria; Pseudomonadati; Myxococcota; Myxococcia.
GCGCCCAUAGCUCAGUUGGAUAGAGCAUCGGCCUUCUAAGCCGAGGGGCAGAGGUUCGAAUCCUCUUGGGCGCGCCA